CCUACGGGAGGCAGCAGUAAGGAAUAUUGGUCAAUGGAGGAAACUCUGAACCAGCCAUCCCGCGUGAAGGAUGAAGGGGCUCUGCCUUGUAAACUUCUUUUGAAUGGGACGAAAAAAGGGGAUUUAUCCUCGACUGACGGUACCAUUAGAAUAAGCACCGGCUAACUCCGUGCCAGCAGCCGCGGUAAU
This 189-nucleotide ribosomal RNA is filed under the name uncultured bacterium. Its description in RNAcentral is "partial 16S ribosomal RNA". It matches the Rfam family "Bacterial small subunit ribosomal RNA", at positions 338 to 524 of the family's 1533-position model. The record is from RNAcentral.